This 323-nucleotide unclassified non-coding RNA is filed under the name soil metagenome. Its description in RNAcentral is "partial contains 5.8S ribosomal RNA, internal transcribed spacer 2, and large subunit ribosomal RNA". The stretch from base 1 to 120 matches the Rfam family "5.8S ribosomal RNA", at positions 35 to 154 of the family's 154-position model. The record is from RNAcentral.
GAUGAAGAACGUAGCGAAAUGCGAUAAGUAAUGCGAAUUGCAGAAUUCAGUGAGUCAUCGAAUCUUUGAACGCACAUUGCGCCCUGUGGUAUUCCGCAGGGCAUGCCUGUUCGAGCGUCAUUUCAACCCUCAAGCUCUGUUUGGUGUUGGGCCCUGCCCGCUGCGGCCGGCCCUAAAGACAGUGGCGGUGCCGCCUGGCCCUGAGCGUAGUACAUCUCUCGCUCCAGUGCCCGGUGGUAGCCUGCCAGAACCCCAACUCUCGUGGUUGACCUCGGAUCAGGUAGGGAUACCCGCUGAACUUAAGCAUAUCAAUAAGCGGAGGA